UGUAGGCGCACUGUGAAGCCGUGUUCGGACCCCGAAACGAGUAAGGACCCCUCACCCUAUUUCCUAUCACGGUUUUAAAGUUCAAUGAAUGAUAAAACGGUAUUUCAUGAAUCAACGAAUGUGUGAAAUUGCUUAAAGUCGCUAAUGGAGCCCGAGUCUAGUGUGUUUGUCGGUUAACUGUUAUUUGGCAUGUUUACAGUUUUAAAUGCAGUAUGAGAUUUGAUGUUUUCAUUUUAUAGUUUCGUGUGCAUAUUCUACUGUUUUAUUGAUUAUGGAUUGAAUGACCGGGAUAUUGAUGCUGUAUGUUGUCUGUUUGGCAUAAAUUAUCGUUUUGCUUGUUUGUAUGUGAUUGAUAAUGCUGACUGAGGGAAAAGGAGAAUGAAAGAUUAUGUAAAUAGAAAUUGUAUAAUGUGGUCAGCCUGACUAGAUAUUCUGGGAGAUGGUGGACGGACCGGGUCCAUAGGGAACCCUACCAGGAUUGUGGUCUCCCAUACCAGACGGGGUAUGGAGAUCUUAUGUGUUUUGGCGCCCAUACCGGACGGGGUAUGGGGACGGCCCGUUUCACCCUCAUACCGGACGGGGUAAUGAGGUCUAUGGUUUGGCGCUCAUACCGGACGGGGUAUGGGGACGGCCCUGGAAUAUGAUUUCAAGUGUUAAGGGUUAACGGGUAGCGGGACCCCUAUGGAUCCCCAUGGAUACUAGUGGGCUGGUAAAUGAGGAAAAUAUGUUGUGUAACGAUUAAAUUACGAAAAGCUUGAUAGGUAUUAUGUUAUACAGUUCAUAUAUAUGUUUUCAUGAUGAUGAUGAUGUUAUUACUUUCGUAUAUUGUUUUAUGAAUUUCACCGAGGUAAGUGAAUGGUAAAGGUUUUAUUAUUAAUAAAAGGAUUUGUUGUAAAUUAUGCUCCAUUGGUCUUUUUGUGUUUUCUACCCACUUUUACCUCCGUGACGGUGAGAUAUCGUGAUGUCCUUACUGGGCUAGUGUAGCUCAUUCCUUAUUUAAUCAUUUCAGAUCAAGAGGACAUCGUUCCCGAGCCGGUUCCGCAGGAGGACGACGAAGGGGACACCUAAGGACUCCAUAGUCACAUUCGUAGUUUUUACUUUCAAGUUUCCCCUUUAGGUAGUUUAAUCUUUUAUAUUUUGUGAGCACGUUUUUGGUUUUAGUGUAAGAGAUGUUAAUCAAAUUUUGUCUUCGCUUCCGCAUUUGAUAUUUAUAAUAUAAUUUCCAUUUUAAAUUUCCGGGGCUGCUACAGUUGGUAUCAGAGCCAGGUUUCCUCGGACCCAUCCCUUACACAAUAGUGCUUUAGAGAAAUACUCACCGAUAUAUCGUUACUCAAUCAUUCCUUGUAAACGUAGGUAUACGAGAAUGAGGAGAGGAAGGCCCCCACUAAACCGAGCGGCCCCAGAUAAUUCACUUCGGGAGGAUUUAGAUAGACUAUUCGAGAUGGUGGAGGCUCUCGCAGCUGCCCAGCGAAGGCAAGAGGAGAGAAGGGAGUUACCGGGACCUCCUCCGCUAGCGCAGGUUGAGCCCCCGCUACAGCAGGCUGAUCCCGAGCCACCCCGGCAGGAACCUGUUCCUCCACGGUACCACCCGGCACCACAGCCGCGGUACGACCCGGUACCACAGCCACAGUACCAACAGGUGCCGCCACGGCACAUUCCAGUGCCCCCACCACAUCAGCAGGCGCCACUGCAGGGUCCCCCAGUUCACCCUCAGCCGGUCCCAGUCCCUCUACCUCGGGGCCCCGCUCCCUCCUUGAUCGACCCCGGCUUCAUAGAGAGGUACAGAAGACUGAACCCUUCUACUUUUUCAGGGGGAUCCUCUUUCGAAGAGGCCCAAUACUGGCUGGCAGAGACUGAGAGAGCUUUCGAGACCUGGCAAUGCGAGGGAGUGCCCUAGGAACCAGAAUCAAGGGAGGCCUCCAAUCCAGGGCAGAGUUUACAACCUUACCCAGAAGGAUGCCGACGCAGACCCGGACGUGGUACAUGGUAAACCCAAGAAAGAAGUUUGUAUCCAAGAGAUUCCAGUAGUCCGAGACUUUCCAGACGUAUUUCCGGAUGAAUUGUCCGGUCUACCAGGGGACAAAGAGGUCGAGUUCACCAUAGACUUACAGCCAGGAACCCAGCCCAUCUCGGUAGCUCCUUACCGAAUGAGCCGUAUCGAGAUGGAAGAGCUAAGGAAACAAAUCACUGAGCUACAAAACAGUAGCUUCAUUAGACACAACAUUUCCCCAUGGGGUGCCGGGGUUACUUUUGCAAAGAAAGGGGAUGGAACGUUGAGACUGUGUAUUGAUUAUAGAAGGAUAAACAAGGUAACAAUUAAGAACAAACACCCUCUUCCCCGGAUUGAUGACCUUUUCGAUCAGUUGCAGGGUGCACAGGUCUUUUCCAAAAUAGAUCUACGAUCAGGUUACCAUCAGGUAAAAGUGAGAGCCGAAGACAUUCCCAAGACGACAUUCCGAACCAGGUACGGACACUAUGAGUUCCUGGUUAUGCCGUUUGGGCUAACCAACGCCCCGGCCAUCUUUAUGGAUCUAAUGAACAGAAUCUUUAGAGAAUUCUUGGAUCAAUUUGUCAUCGUGUUCAUCGAUGAUAUCUUAGUCUACUCAAAAAGUAGGGAAAAACAUGUUCAUCAUCUUGCCCAAGUCCUACAGGUACUCAGGGAAAAGAAGUUAUAUGCGAAGUUGAGCAAGUGUGGAUUUUGGCUCGAACAAACCGCCUUCCUAGGACAUGUUAUAUCGAAGGAAGGGGUGUCGGUGAACCCCGAAAAGGUUGAAGCGGUACUUGGUUGGGAAAGGCUGACGACAGUUAAGGAAAUUCGCAGUUUCCUAGGGAUGGCAGGUUAUUACCGCCGGUUUGUCGAAGGGUUCUUUAGUCUAGCAGCUCCUCUGACCCGACUCACAAAGAAGAAUGCAAGGUUUGAAUGGAAUGAGAACUGCGAGAGGAGUUUUUCAGAGUUGAAGAAGCGACUGACUACUGCACCAGUGCUGGCUCUACCGAGUGGAUCAGGAGGGUACACAGUUUAUAGUGAUGCCUCCUAUCUAGGCCUAGGUUGUGUCCUAAUACAGCAUGGAAAGGUUAUAGCAUAUGGGUCUAGAUAGCUAAAGAAUCAUGAGAAAAACUAUCCUACCCAUGACUUGGAGCUUGUCGCAAUCAUACACGCCUUGAAAACCUGGCGCCAUUAUUUGUAUGGAGAGACCUUUCAGAUCUACACCGAUCAUAAAAGUUUGAAGCAUAUCUUCACUCAGAAGGAUCUCAACAUGCGUCAGAGAAGGUGGAUGGAACUCCUCAAGGACUAUGAUUGUGACAUCCUAUACCAUCCAGGUAAGGGCAACGUGGUGGCCGAUGCCCUCAGCAGGAAAAGUGCAGACACCCUACCCCAUCUAAUGGUUUCAGAAUGUAGGUCCAUUGGGGCUACACAGCAGGUUCGCCUCCGAGACCUGAAGAGAAUCACAUGUUUGGGCCACCUAGCAGUCCAACCCGAGUUAAUCCAAAGAAUAAAGGAAGCCCAGUCAGUCGACCCCGCCCUAGUAACCCGCAAGAAGAAUGCAGAACAGGGAGUGAGCUCAGAAUUUCAGAUCUCUGCCGACGGAUUGAUUCGUUUCAAGGACAGAGUGUGUGUCCCAGACGACAGUGAGUUAAAAAGAGACAUCAUGACAGAGUCCCAUAGUUCAAGGUUCGCCAUGCAUCCAGGAAGUACGAAAAUGUACCAAACUAUGCGACCUCGGUUCUGGUGGAAUGGGAUGAAGAGAGAUAUAGCCGACUUUGUAUCUAAGUGCUUGGUAUGUCAGCAGGUCAAAGCAGAACAUCAAUGCCCGGGCGGGUUACUUCAGCCUUUACUGAUUCCAGAAUGGAAGUGGGAACAUAUCACCAUGGACUUCGUAUCGGGACUACCCAAGGCACGAUCGGGACAUGAUGCUAUAUGGGUAAUUGUUGACCGACUCACUAAGUCUUCCCACUUCCUGGCCAUCAGAAUGACUGAUCCUUUGGACAAGUUGGCAAGAAUGUAUAUCCGGGAGGUAGUCAGACUGCAUGGAGUUCCAGUAACAGUGGUAUCCGACAGGGAUCCCAGAUUCACUUCUCGGUUUUGGAAUAGUUUCCAGCAAGCUAUAGGAACAAAGCUGUCACUUAGUACUGCUUUCCACCCCCAAACCGAUGGACAAUCAGAAAGGACAAUUCGUACGCUGGAGGAUAUGCUCCGAGCUUGUGUGCUUGACUCCGGGGGCCAUUGGGACGACCACCUACCCCUGAUAGAGUUUGCUUACAACAACAGUUACCAAGCAAGCAUCGGCAUGGCUCUAUACGAGGCGCUAUACGGGCGUCCGUGCAGGUCACCGAUCUGUUGGGAAGAAGUGGGCGAUAGAAGAUUGUUCGGCCCAGAUUUGGUAGAAGAAACCACGUCCAAGAUAGUUAAGAUCAAGAAGAACAUCCAGACAGCUCAGAGUAAGCAGAAGAGUUAUGCUGAUACCCGGAGGAGAGACCUGGCCUUUGAGAAAGGCGACCGGGUGUUUCUUAAAGUCACCCCCUUCAAGGGAAUUAGUAGGUUCGGCAGGAGGAGAAAAUUAAACCCCAGAUAUAUUGGACCCUUUGAAGUCUUAGACAAGAUUGGUACCACUGCCUACAGACUUGCACUGCCUCCUGAGCUCUCCCGGGUUCAUAAUGUGUUUCAUGUAUCUAUGCUACGUAAGUACAAUCCGGACCCUUCUCAUGUCUUGACUCAUGAACCGCUUCCACUCCGAGAGGACUUGUCUUAUGAAGAAGUACCGGUCAGUAUCACGGACCGAGAAAGCAGAAUACUCCGCAACCGGGAAAUAUCAUUUGUAAAAGUCAUGUGGCAGAACCACACGCCCAGGGAGGCGACUUGGGAACUGGAAUCAGAAUUUAGGGCCCAAUAUCCCCAUCUGUUUGAUCAAGAGUAAUGGGGCAAAUUUGGGGACCAAAUUUCUUUAAGGGGGGGAGAGUUGUAGCGCCCGGAAAGGGGCCGAAAAAAAAAAAAAAAACCACGUCGGCAGCCACGUCAGCAGGCCCGGUCAGCAGUCCCGGUCAACCGGGACCUGCCACGUGGCAAGACCACGUCGUUCCGAAAUGGACCACGUUGGCGAUCUGCGUAGGCGCGAUCGGACAGCCCAGAUCAAGCGUGCGAUCGGACGAUCCAGAUUUAAUCGCACGGACGGCCCAGAUUUAAUCAAAAACGGACGGCCCAGAUUAAAACAAAAUGGACGGCUGAGAUCAAAAGGCAAAGGGUUAUAAAUAGAACCCCCACACCAGACCACAAACCCUAGCCGUCUGCCGCUCGCCGGAGAAGACGAACCAGAAGCCGGCCGCCGCCACCCGCCGCCGCACCGGAGGGAUUUCCGACCGCCGAUCGAGGUAAAUUUCAUACCUCCGACUCGUUUUUCCACGCUGAUUUCCUCAGUGGCCAAAUCUGAGCCAAAAUCCUGGCCAAACGGCCGAAAAACACGGCCGAAAGCCAGCGGCGCUGCCGCGUCCCUUCUCGGUUUUUGCCUCCGAUGAUGCCCUUCCCGGCCUCCGUUUAAUGCAAUUUUUAUAUCACCGUGAUCACCAUUCUUUUUUCUACAGGUUGAUUGGAGCCGAAUCACCAAAACACGAACUUCACUGGAGAGCCGCCGCACCCGAGAGCACCGCCGCCGGUAAGCUUCGGUUUUCCGUAAAUUUUCGACCCCCCGAGGGCCGUAGGGUUGUUUUAUCGUAGGAACCAAUGCGAGUGUGGUCGAAAACGACCAACCCGAGGCAAACCACCGUCGCCGGAGCACGGCGGAGCCGCCGUACCGGAGUUGCGAUUUGGGCCAAAAGGGGCCCUCGGCCUAAUUUGGGAUUUUUUUGGAACACGUGCAGGUACCAGUAGUGCGUUUCAGUUCCCCGAGAAAAAUUCAGGAAAAAUUAGGGACAGCCUGUAGGCGCACUGUGAAGCCGUGUUCGGACCCCGAAACGAGUAAGGACCCCUCACCCUAUUUCCUAUCACGGUUUUAAAGUUCAAUGAAUGAUAAAACGGUAUUUCAUGAAUCAACGAAUGUGUGAAAUUGCUUAAGGUCGCUAAUGGAGCCCGAGUCUAGUGUGUUUGUCGGUUAACUGUUAUUUGGCCUGUUUACAGUUUUAAAUGCAGUAUGAGAUUUGAUGUUUUCAUUUUAUAGUUUCGUGUGCAUAUUCUACUGUUUUAUUGAUUAUGGAUUGAAUGACCGGGAUAUUGAUGCUGUAUGUUGUCUGUUUGGCAUAAAUUAUCGUUUUGUUUGUUUGUAUGUGAUUGAUAAUGCUGACUGAGGGAAAAGGAGAAUGAAAGAUUAUGUAAAUGGAAAUUGUAUAAUGUGGUCAGCC
Molecule: long non-coding RNA, 6330 nt
Filed under: Carica papaya (papaya)
Lineage: Eukaryota; Viridiplantae; Streptophyta; Magnoliopsida; Brassicales; Caricaceae
Description: long non-coding RNA (CPAP_LNC009108)
Source: RNAcentral